AGUUGCUCCCACGCCCAGCAGUACCUGGCCGGCGCAGGCCGGGGUGGCACGCCGGGCCCGAUAAGGGGUCUCCGGGGCGGAGCCGUCGGCUGGGAGGCGGGCGGGGACCGCCCCGCCCUGCCCACACCGCGCCCGGCUCCGCGGGCCAGCGGUCCGUCGCGUGCUGUCCAGUGGUCGGCGCGCUCGGGCUCCUCACGGAGUGGGCCCGCUGGGGCCCCGCGCUCCGGGGUCGGCGCUCCGGGACACCGGUCUGGUGUCCGCGCCGCCCGCGCUUCGACUGAAGGAGCCCGGCCGGCGGAGGGCGUGGACUGCUCGCUCCGCCUCCGCUCCUGCCCCGGAGGAGGGUGGGGAGAGCGCCCGCCCAGCGGCUGGAGAGGCCUGCAGGCCGGUUCUGAAAUCCCGGGACAAGCUCAGACUAAGGAUCGUGCUCUCAGAGCGGUUUGGGAGGCCGAGAGGACAGAAGAAAUGCCGAGUCACAGAAACCACUCCCAAAAACCUGCCGGGCGCGGCAGGCAGGGCCGGAGGCGAUGGGCUGCUUCCCCGGGGGAUUCUGAGCUCUGCAGUUAUUACUACAUCAGCUCCACCUCCGAUCAUCAGGCAUUGGACCCCGGAGGUUGGGGACCCUUGCUUCAGCACAAAGCUUCACACAGCGCCAGAGAGGAGGCCACGAGGGCAAGGUAGGCGAUCACGUCCCAACUGGAGUUUCGUCUUUAUGUUCAGAUUCAGCUCUUCAAGCUGAUGACUGAUUGUC
This 751-nucleotide long non-coding RNA is filed under the name Bos grunniens (domestic yak). Its description in RNAcentral is "lncRNA (ENSBGRG00000009105.1)". The record is from RNAcentral. Lineage: Eukaryota; Metazoa; Chordata; Mammalia; Artiodactyla; Bovidae.